UGUGGAGGUGCAAACUUUGUCCAGUAGAAUUUAUAACCUCUGGGAAAGACAAGAAGAAACAACAUGAACACAUAUAACUCACACAGACGGGAUUUGUGCUACUCACACUAACCAUGCAAGGUUCCCAGACAACUGUCUCAGUGGUCUCAGCACUUACUUCUCUGAUGGAGGAGCAUCAUUCUUGAACUGCUAUUGACUGGAGCAUUUCACCAAGGCAGGAAAAAUGCAUUGAUGAGAGGCGAACUGGGAUCCUUGAAGAACUCUGAAAUGACUCCUCUGAAGGUGGGAGAUGGCAGUGAUGCUGCUGCAGAGGAACUGGUUUCCCUAGUUUUAAGAGGAGUAGUAGAGACCAGCUCUGUUGUUUAAAUACGGACAUUUGUAGUACCCAGGAUUGAGCACAUAACUGCCUUGGUGGAAACUCGGAAUGAUUCUGACCUCUCUGGUUUUGCCCUAUGCGGUGGGGACUAUGCAGGAGCCAUCAGAAAUGAAGACCCAAAGAGAGAAGGAACCUGUAUAUUUUUAUGUUGGAUUUUAUGAAGAAGUGGAUAUAGUGGUGGAGAAGCAUGAUUGGACAAAGAGGCCAUGAUCUACUGGCGAUGAACUGCGAGGGACUUAGCAAGGCCCAUGUGUCCAGAUUCUCUGUCCCCUUGUCUUUAGAGAUAAGGUGCCCCCCUUUCUCUCUUCCUCUCUCUCUCUGUAGUUGCUGAAGAGGGCACCUCUUGAAUGAGAGUUUUAGAGGAGAAGGGUAAGAGAAAAGUGAGAGUGACCUUCCUGCUGUUCUCUCAAGUGCCAGGGUGCCAUAUUCUGGGGGUAGUAUUGAGGUAGGAGAUUAGGGGAGGAAAAACUGGUCAAACAACUACGAAGAGCUUGGCAGUCCUGAAGACCCAGGGCACAUUCACAGAACACAGAAUUCAGGUUGACUAUACAGUUCCCAACCCUGCAGGUGGGACCAAUCAAAAAAGUGCCAUUUUCAAUUCUUCAUUUAUACCUGACACAAAACCAAGCAGGCCUUUGAUAGGACAGCUUAAUUCUGAUGUCAGGCCAAGUGAGUUACUGAUAGCACAACCUUCCCAAAUGCCUUGUUUGCAAGGUGGGAAGCAACCUAGGAAUUCAUAUACAAAAGAGCUCUGUCAUUAUCCUUGUGGCAACUGUGAGUUCAUACACUAGCCAGCUCUCACUCUGCAGAGCAUAUUUCUUUUCCACCUUUAAUAAAUGUAAAUUCUUACUACCUUUUUAUCACAUGUCUGUCCAGUUCUUUGUUCAGAACAUCAAAAGCCUGGAAAGAAUCUCUUUGGGACCCAAAAGCUGGUAACAUUUUGUUCUGGCCCCACCAAAGCCAAUCCCAGGGCAUGUGGGCCAACCUACCGAUGCUCUUUCCUCUGUCUCACAAUUAGGGUUCUAAUGUCAGCUCCUUGACUCUGAACCCAGGCUCAGGACCCCCAGACUCAG
Heterocephalus glaber (naked mole-rat) is the source of this 1449-nucleotide long non-coding RNA. Lineage: Eukaryota; Metazoa; Chordata; Mammalia; Rodentia; Bathyergidae. The record is from Ensembl.